This 499-nucleotide ribosomal RNA is filed under the name uncultured bacterium. RNAcentral's name for it is "partial 16S ribosomal RNA". It matches the Rfam family "Bacterial small subunit ribosomal RNA", at positions 28 to 507 of the family's 1533-position model. The record is from RNAcentral.
GACGAACGCUGGCGGCGUGCUUAACACAUGCAAGUCGAACGGGCCUGUCUUCUUUUUUGGGGGUGGGUUGAGUGGCGAACGGGUGAGUAUCACGUGAGUAACCUGCCCUUCGGUCCUGGAUAACCGCUUGAAAGGGCGGCUAAUACGGGGUGGUCCGGUUGGUCCGCAUGGGCUGGUCGGGAUAGAUUCACUGUUUUUGGUGUUUCGGCGGGGGAUGGGCUCGCGGCCUAUCAUCUUGUUGGUGGGGUGAUGGCCUACCCAGGCGGUGACGGGUGGCCGGGCUGGGGGGGGGGGCGACCACAAUGGGACUGGGAUCCGGCCGAGGCUGCUAGGGGGGGGAGCAGUGGGGGGUAUUGCACAAGGGGCGGAAGCCUGAUGCAGCGACGUCGCGUGAGGGAGUGAGGCCUUCGGGUUGUGAACCUCUGUUUCCGGUGGUGAAGGCCCUGUCCGUGUGGUGGGGUUGACGGUAGCCGGGGAUGAAGCGCCGGCUAACUACGUG